Molecule: ribosomal RNA, 433 nt
Filed under: uncultured bacterium
Lineage: Bacteria
Description: partial 16S ribosomal RNA
Rfam family: Bacterial small subunit ribosomal RNA
Source: RNAcentral
AAUGAACGCUGGCGGCAGGCCUAACACAUGCAAGUCGAGCGAGCAUUUCGGUGCUAGCGGCGGACGGGUGAGUAACGCGUGGGAACGUGCCCUUUUCUGCGGAAUAGUCCUGGGAAACUGGGGGUAAUACCGCAUACGCCCUUUUAGGGAAAGAUUUAUCGGAGAAGGAUCGGCCCGCGUUGGAUUAGGUAGUUGGUGGGGUAAUGGCCCACCAAGCCGACGAUCCAUAGCUGGUUUGAGAGGAUGAUCAGCCACACUGGGACUGAGACACGGCCCAGACUCCUACGGGAGGCAGCAGUGGGGAAUCUUAGACAAUGGGGGCAACCCUGAUCUAGCCAUGCCGCGUGAGUGAUGAAGGCCUUAGGGUUGUAAAGCUCUUUCAGCUGGGAAGAUAAUGACGGUACCAGCAGAAGAAGCCCCGGCUAACUCCGUG